UGCUACAUGUGUGACAACACGUGCUUGCUGCUUGAUAUCGAUGUCAACAGGUGCUUGCUGCUACAUGUGUGACAACAGGUGCUUGCUGCUUGAUAUCGAUGUCAACCGGUGCUUGCUGCUACAUGUGUGACAACAGGUGCUUGCUGCUACAUGUGUGACAACCGGUGUGCACAUCUGUAUGGGUAGUGUCUACAGGGCCAAUGUACACAAUGUCA
Molecule: long non-coding RNA, 215 nt
Organism: Haliotis rubra (blacklip abalone)
Lineage: Eukaryota; Metazoa; Mollusca; Gastropoda; Lepetellida; Haliotidae
Exons: 2
Source: RefSeq, a predicted model, not a curated record